GAUGAACGCUGGUGGCGUGCUUAACACAUGCAAGUCGAACGGAAAGGCUCCUGCUUGCAGGGGUACUCGAGUGGCGAACGGGUGAGUAACACGUGGGUGAUCUGCCCUGCACUUCGGGAUAAGCCUGGGAAACUGGGUCUAAUACCGGAUAGGACGAUGGUUUGGAUGCCAUUGUGGAAAGUUUUUUCGGUGUGGGAUGAGCUCGCGGCCUAUCAGCUUGUUGGUGGGGUAAUGGCCUACCAAGGCGUCGACGGGUAGCCGGCCUGAGAGGGUGUACGGCCACAUUGGGACUGAGAUACGGCCCAGACUCCUACGGGAGGCAGCAGUGGGGAAUAUUGCACAAUGGGCGCAAGCCUGAUGCAGCGACGCCGCGUGGGGGAUGACGGCCUUCGGGUUGUAAACUCCUUUCGCUAGGGACGAAGCGCAAGUGACGGUACCUGGAGAAGAAGCACCGGCUAACUACGUG
RNAcentral lists this ribosomal RNA (466 nucleotides) under uncultured bacterium. Its description in RNAcentral is "partial 16S ribosomal RNA". It matches the Rfam family "Bacterial small subunit ribosomal RNA", at positions 28 to 507 of the family's 1533-position model. The record is from RNAcentral.